RNAcentral lists this ribosomal RNA (253 nucleotides) under uncultured bacterium. RNAcentral's name for it is "partial 16S ribosomal RNA". It matches the Rfam family "Bacterial small subunit ribosomal RNA", at positions 524 to 776 of the family's 1533-position model. The record is from RNAcentral.
UACGGGGGGGGCAAGCGUUGUUCGGAAUUACUGGGCGUAAAGGGCUCGUAGGCGGCCAACUAAGUCCGACGUGAAAUCCCCAGGCUUAACCUGGGAACUGCGUCGGAUACUGGAUGGCUUGAAUUCGGGAGAGGGAUGCAGAAUUCCAGGUGUAGCGGUGAAAUGCGUAGAUAUCGGGAGGAACACCAGUGGCGAAGGCGGUUGCCUGGAGCUUUGCUGACGCUGAUGCGCGAAAGCGUGGGGAGCGAUCCGG